This 263-nucleotide ribosomal RNA is filed under the name uncultured bacterium. RNAcentral's name for it is "partial 16S ribosomal RNA". It matches the Rfam family "Bacterial small subunit ribosomal RNA", at positions 793 to 1055 of the family's 1533-position model. The record is from RNAcentral.
GUCCUGGCUAUAAACGUUGUGCGCUCGUCGUCGUGGUGGUUAGUCGCCCCGGUGACUCAGCUAACGCGAUAAGCGCACCGCCUGGGAAGUACGGUCGCAAGACUAAAACUCAAAGGAAUUGACGGGGGCCCGCACAAGCGGUGGAGCAUGUGGCUUAAUUCGAGGCAACGCGAAGAACCUUACCUGGGUUUGACAUGGAGACUGAUACUGAUGAAAGUUGGUAGCCCGCAAGGGGGUCUUCACAGGUGCUGCAUGGCUGUCGU